Actinia tenebrosa (Australian red waratah sea anemone) is the source of this 1027-nucleotide long non-coding RNA. The record is from RefSeq and is a predicted model, not a curated record. Lineage: Eukaryota; Metazoa; Cnidaria; Anthozoa; Actiniaria; Actiniidae.
CUGCACUCAAACUAUGUAAUUUUUUCGGGUUAUUCAACAUCUUACCCCAUGUAGAAUCAAUACUGAGAAUAUCGUCAGAAGGGUGAUAGGCACUUUAAGUCUUUGGAGGAUUCCUUUGAAUGGAUUAAUAGUAGUCUAUUUGCUAUAUUUGAAAAAAUGUUUCAAUUGAGAAGCUAAAGUCACACUCAGCUAUGCCUCAUGCAACUCUUACAUUUCUUUUGUGCUUAGGAACUUUCCUGGUCUAUGCAUGACUCAAUUGAUGCAUCCUAAACAUGAAUUCUUUCCUUUACGAUAUAGCAAAACCAAAAAGAUCCUUUGUUAGUUGGAAAAAAAAAACUCUUAGGCCUAGGGAAAACGUCGAACUUUCCAUGCACCAUGCUCUCAUUAAAAACAAUGGAUAUCAGGUGAUAAUGAGGCAGCAUUCUUUGAUGUAAUUAAGUUCGGUGCAUGGAAAGUUCGACGUUUGCCCUAGGCCUUAUCUUUUUAGUGCUUUAACUCUUAUCUUAUUAGAGUGAAGGCAUUUAACCCGCAAAAUAAAAAUUAUUAGUCAACGUGUAAUAGUUAAAUAGACACAAAAGAAAACAAUGGAAUUAGGAUCUACUAAUGUGUAUUAGUCUAAUAUAUAUUUCACGGGUUAAAUGACUUCACUCUAGUGCUAUAACUCUUAUCUUAUUAGUGCUUUUCAAUCAGGUUGUCAUACAGUCCAUAGAGUAAUGGAUGUAGUCUUGCACAUGAUUCACAUGCUAUUGAUAUUAGAGCAUUCAUUAAACUUAAGCUAUGUCAUAAUGAAUUAUGGUCUGCAUAUUGUUAGUGUCAUAUUCAUCAGCAUUAUGGCUAUGAAUAACAGCUGAAUAACACUAACUAGUAACAUGUUAACCAUUAAUAUUAAUCUUAUUAUAAGUUUGUAUUAUAAUAAUGUGGUCUGUAAGUUUUUUUUUCAUUUUGUAAUUGAAAAUUAGAGUGUUUUAGAAGUUGCUUGCUAAAGGAUUUUUGCUUUGGAUGCAAAUUAUAUUCAUCUUGAGUCCUA